This 460-nucleotide ribosomal RNA is filed under the name uncultured bacterium. RNAcentral's name for it is "partial 16S ribosomal RNA". It matches the Rfam family "Bacterial small subunit ribosomal RNA", at positions 338 to 795 of the family's 1533-position model. The record is from RNAcentral.
CCUACGGGAGGCUGCAGUGAGGAAUAUUGGUCAAUGGGCGCGAGCCUGAACCAGCCAAGUAGCGUGAAGGAUGACUGCCCUACGGGUUGUAAACUUCUUUUAUAAAGGAAUAAAGUGAGGCACGUGUGCCUUUUUGUAUGUACUUUAUGAAUAAGGAUCGGCUAACUCCGUGCCAGCAGCCGCGGUAAUACGGAGGGUCCGAGCGUUAUCCGGAUUUAUUUGGUUUAAAGGGAGCGUAGGUGGGUUGGUAAGUCAGUUGUGAAAGUUUGCGGCUAAACCGGAAAAUUGCAAUUGAUACUGGCAGUCUUGAGUACAGUUGAGGUAGGCGGAAUUCGUGGUGUAGCGGUGAAAUGCUUAGAUAUCACGAAGAACUCCGAUUGCGAAGGCAGCUUACUAAACUGCCACUGACAUUGAUGCUCGAAAGUGUGGGUAUCAAACAGGAUUAGAUACCCGAGUAGUC